This 384-nucleotide ribosomal RNA is filed under the name Chrysochromulina sp. RNAcentral describes it as "partial small subunit ribosomal RNA". It matches the Rfam family "Eukaryotic small subunit ribosomal RNA", at positions 587 to 975 of the family's 1831-position model. RNAcentral also lists the same sequence under 1 other name. Lineage: Eukaryota; Haptophyta; Prymnesiales; Chrysochromulinaceae. The record is from RNAcentral.
AGCUCCAAUAGCGUAUAUUAAAGUUGUUGCAGUUAGAACGCUCGUAGUCGGAUUUCGGGGCGGGCCGACCGGUCUGCCGAUGGGUACGCACUGGUCGGCGCGUCCUUCCUUCCGGAGACCGUGCCUACUCUUAACUGAGCGGGGGCGGGAGACGGAACGUUUACUUUGAAAAAAUCAGAGUGUUUCAAGCAGGCAGCUCGCUCUUGCAUGGAUUAGCAUGGGAUAAUGAAAUAGGACUUUGGUGCUAUUUUGUUGGUUUCGAACACCGAAGUAAUGAUGAGAAGGGACAGUCAGGGGCACUCGUAUUCCGCCGAGAGAGGUGAAAUUCUCAGACCAGCGGAAGACGAACCACUGCGAAAGCAUUUGCCAGGGAUGUUUUCACUA